RNAcentral lists this ribosomal RNA (890 nucleotides) under Galerina paludosa. RNAcentral describes it as "partial large subunit ribosomal RNA". It matches the Rfam family "Eukaryotic large subunit ribosomal RNA", at positions 78 to 954 of the family's 3401-position model. The record is from RNAcentral. Lineage: Eukaryota; Fungi; Basidiomycota; Agaricomycetes; Agaricales; Galerinaceae.
CCCUAGUAACUGCGAGUGAAGCGGGAAAAGCUCAAAUUUAAAAGCUGGCGGUCUCAGGCUGUCCGCGUUGUAAUCUAGAGAAGUGUUAUCCGCGCUGGACCGUGUACAAGUCUCCUGGAAUGGAGCGUCAUAGAGGGUGAGAAUCCCGUCUUUGACACGGACUGCCAGGGCUUUGUGAUGCGCUCUCAAAGAGUCGAGUUGUUUGGGAAUGCAGCUCAAAAUGGGUGGUAAAUUCCAUCUAAAGCUAAAUAUUGGCGAGAGACCGAUAGCGAACAAGUACCGUGAGGGAAAGAUGAAAAGAACUUUGGAAAGAGAGUUAAACAGUACGUGAAAUUGCUGAAAGGGAAACGCUUGAAGUCAGUCGCGUGGAUCGGAGAUCAACCUUGCUUUUGCUGGGCGUACUCUCCGGUUGACGGGCCAGCAUCAAUUUUGGGCGCUGGAAAAAGGCUAAGGGAAUGUGGCAUCUUCGGAUGUGUUAUAGCCCUUGGUUGCAUACAGUGGCUGGGAUUGAGGAACUCAGCACGCCGCAAGGCCGGGUUUUUAACCACGUUCGUGCUUAGGAUGCUGGCAUAAUGGCUUUAAUCGACCCGUCUUGAAACACGGACCAAGGAGUCUAACAUGCCUGCGAGUGUUUGGGUGGAAAACCCGAGCGCGUAAUGAAAGUGAAAGUUGAGAUCCCUGUCGUGGGGAGCAUCGACGCCCGGACCAGACCUUUUGUGACGGAUCUGCGGUAGAGCAUGUAUGUUGGGACCCGAAAGAUGGUGAACUAUGCCUGAAUAGGGUGAAGCCAGAGGAAACUCUGGUGGAGGCUCGUAGCGAUUCUGACGUGCAAAUCGAUCGUCAAAUUUGGGUAUAGGGGCGAAAGACUAAUCGAACCAUCUAGUAGCUGG